AUUAGAGUUUGAUCCUGGCUCAGAUUGAACGCUGGCGGCAUGCCUAACACAUGCAAGUCGCACGGGGGUAGCGAUACCUUAGUGGCGGACGGGUGAGUAACGCGUAGGAAUCUGCCCUUUAGUGGGGGACAACUUGGGGAAACCCAAGCUAAUACCGCAUACGCUCGAGAGAGGAAAGCGGGGGACCGCAAGACCUCGCGCUGCAGGAUGAGCCUACGUCCGAUUAGCUAGUUGGUGGGGUAAAGGCCUACCAAGGCGAUGAUCGGUAGCUGGUCUGAGAGGACGAUCAGCCACACUGGGACUGAGACACGGCCCAGACUCCUACGGGAGGCAGCAGUGGGGAAUAUUGGACAAUGGGCGCAAGCCUGAUCCAGCAAUGCCGCGUGGGUGAAGACGGCCUGCGGGUUGUAAAGCCCUUUAGGCGGGGAGGAACGGCGUCGUGCGAACAGUGCGGCGUUCUGACGUUACCCGCGGAAUAAGCACCGGCUAACUCCGUGCCAGCAGCCGCGGUAAUAAUC
Molecule: ribosomal RNA, 518 nt
Filed under: uncultured bacterium
Lineage: Bacteria
Description: bacterial SSU rRNA
Rfam family: Bacterial small subunit ribosomal RNA
Source: RNAcentral